CGGGCAGUAUCCUCUUGUUGAACUGCACCAAUUUGAUAUCAAAUAAAUUAAAGAUUUCUGCCUAGAUCCAUAAUGGACCGGGACAGAGGG
Non-coding RNA from Bacillus sp. FJAT-21945, 90 nucleotides. The record is from Rfam. NCBI's taxonomy places the organism in Bacteria, Bacillati, Bacillota, Bacilli, Caryophanales, Bacillaceae.